This 282-nucleotide ribosomal RNA is filed under the name unidentified marine bacterioplankton. RNAcentral's name for it is "partial 16S ribosomal RNA". It matches the Rfam family "Bacterial small subunit ribosomal RNA", at positions 58 to 339 of the family's 1533-position model. The record is from RNAcentral.
CAAGUCGAACGGUAACGCGGAGAGCUUGCUCUCUGGCGACGAGUGGCGGACGGGUGAGUAAUGCGUAGGAAUCUGCCCAGUAGUGGGGGAUAACCCGGGGAAACCCGGGCUAAUACCGCAUACGCCCUACGGGGGAAAGCGGGGGCCUUCGGGCCUCGUGCUAUUGGAUGAGCCUGCGUCGGAUUAGCUAGUUGGUAGGGUAAAGGCCUACCAAGGCGACGAUCCGUAGCUGGUCUGAGAGGAUGAUCAGCCACACUGGGACUGAGACACGGCCCAGACUCC